RNAcentral lists this ribosomal RNA (350 nucleotides) under Leptolyngbya tenuis I6. RNAcentral's name for it is "bacterial SSU rRNA". It matches the Rfam family "Bacterial small subunit ribosomal RNA", at positions 412 to 777 of the family's 1533-position model. Lineage: Bacteria; Bacillati; Cyanobacteriota; Cyanophyceae; Leptolyngbyales; Leptolyngbyaceae. The record is from RNAcentral.
AGGCUCUUGGGUUGUAAACCUCUUUUAUCAGGGAAGAAGAUCUGACGGUACCUGAUGAAUCAGCAUCGGCUAACUCCGUGCCAGCAGCCGCGGUAAUACGGAGGAUGCAAGCGUUAUCCGGAUUUAUUGGGCGUAAAGCGUCCGCAGGUGGUUGUUCAAGUCUGCUGUUAAAGCGCGAGGCUUAACCUUGUACAGGCAGUGGAAACUGAGCGACUAGAGUAUGGUAGGGGUAGCGGGAAUUCCCAGUGUAGCGGUGAAAUGCGUAGAUAUUGGGAAGAACACCAGCGGCGAAAGCGCGCUACUGGGCCAUUACUGACACUCAUGGACGAAAGCUAGGGGAGCGAAAGGGA